This 2494-nucleotide ribosomal RNA is filed under the name Escherichia coli. RNAcentral describes it as "partial 23S ribosomal RNA". It matches the Rfam family "Bacterial large subunit ribosomal RNA", at positions 419 to 2925 of the family's 2925-position model. Lineage: Bacteria; Pseudomonadati; Pseudomonadota; Gammaproteobacteria; Enterobacterales; Enterobacteriaceae. The record is from RNAcentral.
GAGACACGUGAAACCUUGUGGGAAGCAGGGAGGACCACCUCCCAAGGCUAAAUACUACCUGAUGACCGAUAGUGAAGCAGUACCGUGAGGGAAAGGUGAAAAGAACCCCGGGAGGGGAGUGAAAUAGAACCUGAAACCGUGUGCCUACAACCGCUCAGAGCCCCUUAUGAGGGUGAUGAGGUGCUUUUUGUAGAACGAGCCAACGAGUUACGGUAUGUAGCAAGGUUAAGUACUUAAGGUACGGAGCCGAAGGGAAACCGAGUCUGAAUAGGGCGACUAGUUGCAUGCCGUAGACCCGAAACCGGGUGACCUAUCCAUGGCCAGGUUGAAGCGAGGGUAAAACCUCGUGGAGGACCGAACCACGUUGCUGUUGAAAAAGCAUGGGAUGAGCUGUGGAUAGCGGAGAAAUUCCAAUCGAACCCGGAGAUAGCUGGUUCUCUCCGAAAUAGCUUUAGGGCUAGCGUCGAGUAUGAGUAGUGGAGGUAGAGCACUGAAUGGGCUAGGGGGCAUAGCGCUUACCGAACCUUAUCAAACUCCGAAUGCCACAUACUUUGAGCUCGGCAGUCAGACUACGAAUGAUAAGAUCCGUGGUCAAAAGGGAAACAGCCCAGAUCGUCAGCUAAGGUCCCAAAGUGUAAGUUAAGUGGGAAAGGAUGUGAGAUUUCUAAGACAACUAGGAUGUUGGCUUAGAAGCAGCCAUUCAUUAAAAGAGUGCGUAAUAGCUCACUAGUCGAGAGAUCUUGCGCCGAAAAUGUAACGGGGCUAAACUUACCACCGAAGCUACGGGCUUGAACUUAGUUCAAGCGGUAGGAGAGCGUCGUAACCGGGCUGAAGUCGUACCGUAAGGAGCGGUGGACUGGUUACGAGUGAGAAUGUUGGCAUCAGUAGCGAGAUGUGGGUGAGAAUCCCACAGGCCGAAAACCUAAGGUUUCCUCAGGAAGGUUCGUCCGCUGAGGGUUAGUCGGGACCUAAGCCGAGGCCGAAAGGCGUAGGUGAUGGACAACUGGUUGAUAUUCCAGUACCACUACCAUCGUUAUUAUCGAUGGCGUGACGCAGGAGGAUAGUGUGUGCUAGCUAUUGGAUGCUAGUCUAAGCGUUUAGGCAGUGAGAGUAGGCAAAUCCGCUCUCAUAAUGCUGAGGCGUGAUGGGGAAGGUUCUACGGAACCGAAGUACAUGAUUCCACGCUGCCAAGAAAAGCGUCUAGAGAGAGAAGUAGUGCCCGUACCGCAAACCGACACAGGUAGGUGAGGAGAGAAUCCUAAGGCCGGCGGAAGAAUUACAGUUAAGGAACUCGGCAAAUUGACCCCGUAAGUUCGCGAGAAGGGGUGCCUACGAGAGUAGGCCGCAGAGAAUAGGCCCAAGCAACUGUUUAGCAAAAACACAGGUCUCUGCUAAAGCGUAAGCUGAUGUAUAGGGGCUGACGCCUGCCCGGUGCUGGAAGGUUAAGGGGAACACUUAGCGCAAGCGAAGGUGUGAACUUAAGCCCCAGUAAACGGCGGCCGUAACUAUAACGGUCCUAAGGUAGCGAAAUUCCUUGUCAGGUAAGUUCUGACCCGCACGAAUGGCGUAAUGACUUGGGCACUGUCUCAACUGUAAAUCCGGCGAAGUUGUAGUGCGAGUGAAGAUGCUCGCUACCCGCGAUUGGACGGAAAGACCCCGUAGAGCUUUACUGUAGCUUAGCAUUGAGUUUUGGUAUUGUCUGUACAGGAUAGGUGGGAGACUAGGAAACCAGGGCGUCAGCCUUGGUGGAGUCAACCUUGGGAUACCACCCUGACAGUACUGAAAUUCUAACUGGCGGCCAUGAAUCUGGUCACAGGACAUUGUUAGGUGGGCAGUUUGACUGGGGCGGUCGCCUCCUAAAAAGUAACGGAGGCGCCCAAAGGUUCCCUCAGAACGGUCGGAAAUCGUUCGAAGAGUGCAAAGGCAGAAGGGAGCCUGACUGCGACACCCACAAGUGGAGCAGGGACGAAAGUCGGGCUUAGUGAUCCGGUGGUACCUCGUGGGAGGGCCAUCGCUCAACGGAUAAAAGCUACCUCGGGGAUAACAGGCUGAUCUCCCCCAAGAGUCCACAUCGACGGGGAGGUUUGGCACCUCGAUGUCGGCUCGUCGCAUCCUGGGGCUGAAGUAGGUCCCAAGGGUUGGGCUGUUCGCCCAUUAAAGCGGCACGCGAGCUGGGUUCAGAACGUCGUGAGACAGUUCGGUCCCUAUCCGUCGCGGGCGUAGGAAAUUUGAGAGGAGCUGUCCUUAGUACGAGAGGACCGGGAUGGACUGACCUCUGGUGUACCAGUUGUUCCGCCAGGAGCACAGCUGGGUAGCUAAGUCGGGAAUGGAUAAACGCUGAAAGCAUCUAAGCGUGAAGCCAACCUCAAGAUGAGAUUUCCCAUAGCGUAAGCUAGUAAGAUCCCUUGAAGAACACAAGGUUGAUAGGUCGGGGGUGUAAGCAUGGUAACAUGUUCAGCUGACCGAUACUAAUAGAUCGAGGGCUUGACCAAAU